RNAcentral lists this ribosomal RNA (254 nucleotides) under uncultured bacterium. Its description in RNAcentral is "partial 16S ribosomal RNA". It matches the Rfam family "Bacterial small subunit ribosomal RNA", at positions 524 to 776 of the family's 1533-position model. The record is from RNAcentral.
UACGGGGGGAGCAAGCGUUGUUCGGAUUUACUGGGCGUAAAGGGCGCGUAGGCGGCCUGUGCAAGUCAGUUGUGAAAUCUCCGGGCUUAACUCGGAACGGUCAACUGAUACUGCUCGGCUAGAGUGCGGAAGGGGCAACUGGAAUUCUUGGUGUAGCGGUGAAAUGCGUAGAUAUCAAGAGGAACACCUGCGGCGAAGGCGGGUUGCUGGGCCGACACUGACGCUGAUGCGCGAAAGCUAGGGGAGCGAACGGG